AUUGAACGCUGGCGGCAGGCCUAACACAUGCAAGUCGAACGGUAACAGGAAGAAGCUUGCUUCUUUGCUGACGAGUGGCGGACGGGUGAGUAAUGUCUGGGAAACUUCCUGAUGGAGGGGGAUAACUACUGGAAACGGUAGCUAAUACCGCAUAACGUCGCAAAACCAAAGAGGGGGACCUUCGGGCCUCUUGCCCUCGGAUGUGCCCAGAUGGGAUUAGCUAGUAGGUGGGGUAACGGCUCACCUAGGCGACGAUCCCUAGCUGGUCUGAGAGGAUGACCAGCCACACUGGAACUGAGACACGGUCCAGACUCCUACGGGAGGCAGCAGUGGGGAAUAUUGCACAAUGGGCGCAAGCCUGAUGCAGCCAUGCCGCGUGUAUGAAGAAGGCCUUCGGGUUGUAAAGUACUUUCAGCGGGGAGGAAGGGAGUAAAGUUAAUACCUUAGCUCAUUGACGUUACCCGCAGAAGAAGCACCGGCUAACUCCGUG
This 490-nucleotide ribosomal RNA is filed under the name uncultured bacterium. RNAcentral's name for it is "partial 16S ribosomal RNA". It matches the Rfam family "Bacterial small subunit ribosomal RNA", at positions 30 to 507 of the family's 1533-position model. The record is from RNAcentral.